GUUCUCGUCGUCUAGUGGUAGGACAUUGCUUUUUCAGAGCAAGAACACGGGUUCGAUUCCCGUCGAGAACA
Molecule: transfer RNA, 71 nt
Filed under: bacterium
Lineage: Bacteria
Also listed under: 1 other name
Description: tRNA-Glu
Rfam family: tRNA
About the family: Transfer RNA (tRNA) molecules are approximately 80 nucleotides in length. Their secondary structure includes four short double-helical elements and three loops (D, anti-codon, and T loops).
Source: RNAcentral